AUUUCCAUGGAGAUUAUUUGGCCAGGCCACAUGCAAAAAAUGUUUGUAAUUACAAUGAGUUGUAAAACUAACAAACUACUUCAAAAUAUGAAAUCACUGGAUAAAUUACCUGGUUAUUCAGUAUUCACACGGAUACUAGGCCAACUGCUAUAGGUCCGAGUAAUUUGCCAUUACAACAAAGAAAAGUGAAAGAAAGACAUUGUUUAGAAAAAGAAAAAAGAUAUAUUUGAAAAUAUAAUUGAGGAAAAUAUUAUGUUAUAAUAACAUAUGCAAAAUGGCAACUUGUAAAUGAUAUAUAUAAAUACAAGUCUAAAUUAAAAACAACAUUCAAACUAUGACUGCGUUGGAUAAAAGUUUUUAUACGUGUGCAUGUAAAACAAAUUUCGUUGUAGAGGGGCACAAACAACAUUUUCCAAAAAGAC
Molecule: long non-coding RNA, 422 nt
Filed under: Mytilus galloprovincialis (Mediterranean mussel)
Lineage: Eukaryota; Metazoa; Mollusca; Bivalvia; Mytilida; Mytilidae
Source: RNAcentral